GAUCCUGGCUCAGGAUGAACGCUAGCUACAGGCUUAACACGUGCAAGUCGAGGGGAAACGACAUCGAAAGCUUGCUUUUGAUGGGCGUCGACCGGCGCACGGGUGAGUAACGCGUAUCCAACCUGCCCACCACCUGGGGAUAACCUUGCGAAAGUAAGACUAAUACCCAAUGACAUCCCACGAAGACAUCUGAAUGGGAUUAAAGAUUUAUCGGUGAUGGAUGGGGAUGCGUCUGAUUAG
RNAcentral lists this ribosomal RNA (240 nucleotides) under uncultured bacterium. RNAcentral's name for it is "partial 16S ribosomal RNA". It matches the Rfam family "Bacterial small subunit ribosomal RNA", at positions 15 to 244 of the family's 1533-position model. The record is from RNAcentral.